CGAAUGCUGACAUAAGUAACGAUAAAGCGGGUGAAAAGCCCGCUCGCCGGAAGACCAAGGGUUCCUGUCCAACGUUAAUCGGGGCAGGGUGAGUCGACCCCUAAGGCGAGGCCGAAAGGCGUAGUCGAUGGGAAACAGGUUAAUAUUCCUGUACUUGGUGUUACUGCGAAGGGGGGACGGAGAAGGCUAUGUUGGCCGGGCGACGGUUGUCCCGGUUUAAGCGUGUAGGCUGGUUUUCCAGGCAAAUCCGGAAAAUCAAGGCUGAGGCGUGAUGACGAGGCACUACGGUGCUGAAGCAACAAAUGCCCUGCUUCCAGGAAAAGCCUCUAAGCAUCAGGUAACAUCAAAUCGUACCCCAAACCGACACAGGUGGUCAGGUAGAGAAUACCAAGGCGCUUGAGAGAACUCGGGUGAAGGAACUAGGCAAAAUGGUGCCGUAACUUCGGGAGAAGGCACGCUGAUAUGUAGGUGAAGCGACUUGCUCGUGGAGCUGAAAUCAGUCGAAGAUACCAGCUGGCUGCAACUGUUUAUUAAAAACACAGCACUGUGCAAACACGAAAGUGGACGUAUACGGUGUGACGCCUGCCCGGUGCCGGAAGGUUAAUUGAUGGGGUUAGCGGUAACGCGAAGCUCUUGAUCGAAGCCCCGGUAAACGGCGGCCGUAACUAUAACGGUCCUAAGGUAGCGAAAUUCCUUGUCGGGUAAGUUCCGACCUGCACGAAUGGCGUAAUGAUGGCCAGGCUGUCUCCACCCGAGACUCAGUGAAAUUGAACUCGCUGUGAAGAUGCAGUGUACCCGCGGCAAGACGGAAAGACCCCGUGAACCUUUACUAUAGCUUGACACUGAACAUUGAGCCUUGAUGUGUAGGAUAGGUGGGAGGCUUUGAAGUGUGGACGCCAGUCUGCAUGGAGCCGACCUUGAAAUACCACCCUUUAAUGUUUGAUGUUCUAACGUUGGCCCCUGAUCGGGGUUGCGGACAGUGUCUGGUGGGUAGUUUGACUGGGGCGGUCUCCUCCUAAAGAGUAACGGAGGAGCACGAAGGUUGGCUAAUCCUGGUCGGACAUCAGGAGGUUAGUGCAAUGGCAUAAGCCAGCUUGACUGCGAGCGUGACGGCGCGAGCAGGUGCGAAAGCAGGUCAUAGUGAUCCGGUGGUUCUGAAUGGAAGGGCCAUCGCUCAACGGAUAAAAGGUACUCCGGGGAUAACAGGCUGAUACCGCCCAAGAGUUCAUAUCGACGGCGGUGUUUGGCACCUCGAUGUCGGCUCAU
This 1266-nucleotide ribosomal RNA is filed under the name Escherichia coli. Its description in RNAcentral is "partial 23S ribosomal RNA". It matches the Rfam family "Bacterial large subunit ribosomal RNA", at positions 1291 to 2540 of the family's 2925-position model. The record is from RNAcentral. Lineage: Bacteria; Pseudomonadati; Pseudomonadota; Gammaproteobacteria; Enterobacterales; Enterobacteriaceae.